RNAcentral lists this ribosomal RNA (253 nucleotides) under uncultured bacterium. RNAcentral describes it as "partial 16S ribosomal RNA". It matches the Rfam family "Bacterial small subunit ribosomal RNA", at positions 524 to 776 of the family's 1533-position model. The record is from RNAcentral.
UACGAAGGGGGCUAGCGUUGCUCUGAAUGACUGGGCGUAAAGGGCGCGUAGGCGGUUUGUACAGUCAGGUGUGAAAUUCCCGGGCUCAACCUGGGGGCUGCACUUGAUACGUAUGGACUGGAGUGGGGAAGAGGGUCGUGGAAUUCCCAGUGUAGAGGUGAAAUUCGUAGAUAUUGGGAAGAACACCGGUGGCGAAGGCGGCGACCUGGUCCUUGACUGACGCUGAGGCGCGAAAGCGUGGGGAGCAAACAGG